Molecule: ribosomal RNA, 825 nt
Filed under: uncultured bacterium
Lineage: Bacteria
Description: bacterial SSU rRNA
Rfam family: Bacterial small subunit ribosomal RNA
Source: RNAcentral
CAUGCAGUCGAACGGAACGAUGGAGAAGUUUACUUUUUCAGGCGUCGAGUGGCGGACGGGUGUAGUAAUGCAUAGGAAUCUGCCCUAUAGUUUGGGAUAACUACUCGAAAGAGUGGCUAAUACCGAAUGUGGACUACGGUUUAAAGCAGGGGACCUUCGGGCCUUGCGCUAUAGGAUGAGCCUAUGUGGGAUUAGCUAGUUGGUGAGGUAAAGGCUCACCAAGGCGACGAUCUCUAGCUGGUCUGAGAGGAUGAUCAGCCACACUGGGACUGAGACACGGCCCAGACUCCUACGGGAGGCAGCAGUGGGGAAUAUUGGACAAUGGGCGGAAGCCUGAUCCAGCAAUACCGCGUGUGUGAAGAAGGCCUUCGGGUUGUAAAGCACUUUUGUCAGGGAGAAUGGCAGUUGAGGUUAAUACCCUUAGCUGUUGAUGUUACCUGAAGAAUAAGCACCGGCUAACUCCGUGCCAGCAGCCGCGGUAAUACGGGGGGUGCAAGCGUUAAUCGGAAUUACUGGGCGUAAAGGGCGCGUAGGCGGUUACUUAAGUUAGAUGUGAAAGCCCCGGGCUUAACCUGGGAAUUGCAUUUAAUACUGGGUAACUAGAGUGUGGUAGAGAGUAGCGGAAUUUCUGGUGUAGCGGUGAAAUGCGUAGAUAUCAGAAAGGAACACCAAUGGCGAAAGCAGCUGCUUGGGCCAACACUGACGCUGAGGCGCGAAAGCGUGGGGAGCAAACAGAUUAGAUACCCUGUAGUCCACGCUGUAACGAUGACAACUUAUUGAUGGGAGGGUUACCUUUCGUUGAUGUAGCUAACGUGUUAAGUUGUC